GAUGAAGUACGUAGCGAAAUGCGAUAAGUAAUGUGAAUUGCAGAAUUCAGUGAAUCAUCGAAUCUUUGAACGCACAUUGCGCCCGCCAGUAUUCUGGCGGGCAUGCCUGUCUGAGCGUCAUUUCAACCCUCAUGCCCCUAGGGCGUGGUGUUGGGGAUCGGCCAAAGCCCGCGAGGGACGGCCGGCCCCUAAAUCUAGUGGCGGACCCGUCGUGGCCUCCUCUGCGAAGUAGUGAUAUUCCGCAUCGGAGAGCGAUGAGCCCCUGCCGUUAAACCCCCAACUUUCCAAGGUUGACCUCAGAUCAGGUAGGAAUACCCGCUGAACUUAAGCAUAUCAAUAAGCGGAGGA
RNAcentral lists this unclassified non-coding RNA (348 nucleotides) under soil metagenome. Its description in RNAcentral is "partial contains 5.8S ribosomal RNA, internal transcribed spacer 2, and large subunit ribosomal RNA". The stretch from base 1 to 120 matches the Rfam family "5.8S ribosomal RNA", at positions 35 to 154 of the family's 154-position model. The record is from RNAcentral.